AGCCCGGUCGUCUAGCGGACAAGGAUGGGGGCCUUUGGAGCCUCAGACCAGAGUUCGAAUCUCUGCCGGGCUACCA
RNAcentral lists this transfer RNA (76 nucleotides) under Candidatus Bathyarchaeota archaeon. RNAcentral's name for it is "tRNA-Gln". It matches the Rfam family "tRNA". Rfam says of the family: Transfer RNA (tRNA) molecules are approximately 80 nucleotides in length. Lineage: Archaea; Thermoproteati; Candidatus Bathyarchaeota. The record is from RNAcentral.